GAUGAAGAACGUAGCGAAAUGCGAUAAGUAAUGCGAAUUGCAGAAUUCCAGUGAGUCAUCGAAUCUUUGAACGCACAUUGCGCCCAUUGGUAUUCCGAAGGGCAUGCCUGUUCGAGCGUCAUUAUCACCCCUCAAGCCCUCGGCUUGGUGUUGGACGGUUUGGUGGAGGCCCCCUCGGGGGCUCCUGCCCCUCCCAAAGACAAUGACGGCGGCCUCGUUGGACCCCCGGUACACUGAGUUCUUCACGGGACACGUAUCGGACACAUGGGUUUACGGGACACGGUCUGCCUCCCCUCAGGGAGAAUCUUUCUAAGGUUGACCUCGGAUCAGGUAGGGAUACCCGCUGAACUUAAGCAUAUCAAUAAGCGGAGGA
This 373-nucleotide unclassified non-coding RNA is filed under the name soil metagenome. RNAcentral's name for it is "partial contains 5.8S ribosomal RNA, internal transcribed spacer 2, and large subunit ribosomal RNA". The stretch from base 1 to 121 matches the Rfam family "5.8S ribosomal RNA", at positions 35 to 154 of the family's 154-position model. The record is from RNAcentral.